UACAGAGGUCUCAAGCGUUGUUCGGAUUCAUUGGGCGUAAAGGGUGCGUAGGCGGCGCGGUAAGUCGGGUGUGAAAUCUCGGAGCUUAACUUCGAAACUGCAUUCGAUACUGCGGUGCUUGAGGACUGGAGAGGAGACUGGAAUUCAUGGUGUAGCGGUGAAAUGCGCAGAUAUCGGGAGGAACACCUAUGGCGAAGGCAGCUCGCUGGGACGUUACUGACGCUGAGACGCGAAAGCGUGGGGAGCAAACAGG
RNAcentral lists this ribosomal RNA (253 nucleotides) under uncultured bacterium. RNAcentral's name for it is "partial 16S ribosomal RNA". It matches the Rfam family "Bacterial small subunit ribosomal RNA", at positions 524 to 776 of the family's 1533-position model. The record is from RNAcentral.